CAUGAUGGGAGGCCCCAGAGCAUCAUGGGAGGUGACUCAACUGCGCAUGCUCUAUGGGCCCGUGUACCAGGAAGUAAACCAGGAAGUCAGAAAUUUUUUCGGCGGAUGCGCUGGGUGAGCAAACUCCAUUGAAAUGAAUGGGCGGCCAUUUUCGAUCCGGUAUCCAGUUAUAUAAUACAUCCAUGGCUCCAUUACACGGAGAAGCGGCUCGCAAAAAACCUCCUAAUAUCUUCCGAAGGACUCCAAAUGACACCAAACUUUUCUGGGUGAGUAUACAACCAUAAAAAAUGUCAUAAAUAAGGUCCAGGUUGUAAAAAACCGAACUUUCCCUUUAACUCCAGGUGAAACUACUUAGAGUUGAGUAAAUUACCUCAAAUCCGCUGUUCUGGAACCGAAAACUCAGAGUUUCCGAUCUCAGAGUAGAUCAACUAAGAGUUCAGGAUUAGACUCAGAGUUUGUUGAACCUGCUUUGUGAAACGGACCCCUGGAGUUUUACAGACUUCCAAAAGUUAUCACAAAUCAGGCAGAUACUUGCCGAAACUUAUCAGAAGAAAGGAGACGUCUGUGGCUUGCUGCACUGAAACAGAACUUCACGGGCAAGAAUCUUGACAACAUUCGUGUUUGUUCUUCACAUUUAUUGUCAGUGGUUAACCGAUUCAACUGCAGGAUUCAACUUUCCCACAGCAGCAGGUUUGCCUGAUGGUGGGGAGCUUGCUAACACUCGUCGUACCUGCCUGGUAAGACUUACCUGAUACGUGGGCCCGGAGAACAACCUGCCAAGAAUCUGUCCUCUCUGGAUAGUAAAGCUGCAAAAAUAAAAUAAAUGUAUAUAAAUAAACCAGAUCCUCCUUCCA
Cololabis saira (Pacific saury) is the source of this 854-nucleotide long non-coding RNA. RefSeq lists it as uncharacterized. Lineage: Eukaryota; Metazoa; Chordata; Actinopteri; Beloniformes; Belonidae. The transcript has 3 exons. The record is from RefSeq and is a predicted model, not a curated record.